RNAcentral lists this ribosomal RNA (708 nucleotides) under Triticum aestivum (bread wheat). RNAcentral describes it as "partial small subunit ribosomal RNA". The record is from RNAcentral. Lineage: Eukaryota; Viridiplantae; Streptophyta; Magnoliopsida; Poales; Poaceae.
AUGGAAUUAAAGUCCCUUCCAGAGAACCUUGGAAGCCUCAAAAACCUUCAAGCACUCGACCUCUCAUCCUGCUAUAAACUAGAGUCCCUUCCGGAGAGCCUUGGAAGCCUCAAAAACCUUCAAACACUUGACCUCCAAGCCUGCUGGAAACUAGAGUCCCUUCCAGAGAGCCUUGGAAGCCUCGAAAACCUUCAAACACUCAACCUCUCAGACUGCUUAAAACUAGAGUCCCUUCCAGAGAGUCUUGGAAGCCUCAAAAACCUUGAAGCACUCGACCUCUCAUCCUGCNNNNNNNNNNNNNNNCUUCCAGAGAACAUUGGAAGCCUCGAAAACCUACAAACACUCGGCCUUGCAAGCUGCUAUGAACUAGAGUCCCUUCCGGAGAGCCUUGGAAGCCUCACAGACCUUCAAACACUAGACCUCUCAUGGUGUGUGGAAUUAAAGUCCCUUCCAAAGAGCCUUGUAAGCCUCAAAAACCUUCAAGCACUCGACCUCUCAUUUUGCUAUAAAUUAGAGUCCCUUCCGGAGAGCCUUGGAAGCCUCGAAAACCUUCAAACACUCAAUCGCUCACAGUGCUGGAAACUAGAGUCCCUUCCAGAGAGCCUUGGAAGCCUCAAAAACCUUCAAACACUCGACCUAUCAUUCUGUAAGAAACUAGAGUUCCUUCCGGAGAGCCUUGAAAACCUGAAAAUCAUUAGAAGAGGUUAA